Molecule: non-coding RNA, 29 nt
Filed under: Homo sapiens (human)
Lineage: Eukaryota; Metazoa; Chordata; Mammalia; Primates; Hominidae
Source: RNAcentral
UCAGCUGGAAGUCAUUCCUUCUGAUGUUG